CCCCGGUUGGAGACCCCAGCCCUGUACCGGGUGGGGGUCUUAGCUCCCACUGACUUGGGGCCUUCAACCACACUGGCAUCCCAGGCAUUCCUCCUGACUGAUUUCUGUUUUAAAAAUAAUGUGGAACGUUUUCUGGCAUCUGGUGAGGGAUUCACACACUGUAUAUUCAGGGCAGGACUUAAGGAAUGAGUUCAGAAGGUAUCUGGUCACUGGACAAACAGCAGGCAAGCCCCCUGUGCUCCUCGCUGGGAGAAAGCAGCCUUCAAGGUCCCAGCACCCCCAAACCCACGAGCUCACACAAAACAACGCGAGCCACAAAUGCAAGCCACAUCUGUCAUUUAACAUCUUCUAAUAGCCACAUUUUCAGAAAGUGAAAAUAAGCAGAUUGAGCUUCUAGAGCCUCAGAGAUGGAAUUCGCCGUUUUGCCGCGAUUUGGCGUUAACUUAUUGACCCACGGGGAGGAGGGUCACUUCCCCUGAAAAGGUAUAAAAUGAAGUUGUCAGUCUCUCUUUUUAAUUAAAAAAAAAAUCUCUGCAAAGAUUCUGCAUUCUGGCUUCUCUUUGCUAAAUUAAAGUGGCAUGUGUUUUUAUUUUAGAAGGCAGAGAUGUUUUGCUGUGCCCAGUGUGAGGAAGCGAAGGAAAAGAAAGAUCUUUUGAAAAUGUGUACGUCUACUUGCAGCUUGAAAAUUCCAAGUGC
RNAcentral lists this long non-coding RNA (696 nucleotides) under Gorilla gorilla gorilla (western lowland gorilla). RNAcentral describes it as "lncRNA (ENSGGOG00000044374.1)". Lineage: Eukaryota; Metazoa; Chordata; Mammalia; Primates; Hominidae. The record is from RNAcentral.